Molecule: ribosomal RNA, 261 nt
Filed under: uncultured prokaryote
Description: partial 16S ribosomal RNA
Rfam family: Bacterial small subunit ribosomal RNA
Source: RNAcentral
UACGGAGGAUCCGAGCGUUAUCCGGAUUUAUUGGGUUUAAAGGGUGCGCAGGCGGAAAGAUAAGUCAGUGGUGAAAAACUGCCGCUUAACGGUAGUCUUGCCAUUGAUACUGUUUUUCUUGAGUAUGGAUGAGGUAGGCGGAAUGUGCAGUGUAGCGGUGAAAUGUAUAGAUAUUGCACGGAACUCCGAUUGCGAAGGCAGCUUACUGGACCAUUACUGACGCUCAGGCACGAAAGCGUGGGUAGCAAACAGGAUUAGAUA